CUUAGCCCUGGCGAGUGUUUCGCAUCAGGUGACAAGUUGUGCCGAGUGUCUGCCACCCUGCAUGCCCACACUGAAUCCGUGCAGGGCCCUCCCGGCCGCCUGCUCAGCUGUGGACACGGAGCUCCGGCACAGCCAAGUCCUGAAUGACAUGCAGCCAAUUCUCUUGGGCCCUUUCCGGGUUUGUCUGUGGUCCUUCCUUCUGUGUUUCCAGGCUGAGUCCUAAGGCCCUGGUCCUGUGCCCAGUGUGGUGCCUUGGAAGUUCUGAAAGUCACAGGGGCACAGUGGAGUGUGUGAGGAAAGACCCCUGCAGACGGCCUCCGGCGGGCUUCGGGCAGCUCUCCCUGGUUGGGGUCCCAGGGUCUUCAGGGAAGCCCCAAGUCCUGG
This 384-nucleotide long non-coding RNA is filed under the name Homo sapiens (human). Its description in RNAcentral is "HSALNT0083333". The record is from RNAcentral. Lineage: Eukaryota; Metazoa; Chordata; Mammalia; Primates; Hominidae.